CUUCGGGCUGAUAACUGGUUGGGGAGUCGGAAAUCAGUCUCUUCCCGACUUUUAAGUGUCCGAUAAAUCCAAGUUUACGAUGAGUAGCAUUAUAUGCGGUAUAACGAAGUAAUGUAAACUUAAUUGUUCUCAUUAUUAUUCCACGUUAAAUCGCCAUGCCAUUUUUUGACAUUU
This 174-nucleotide small nucleolar RNA is filed under the name Nadsonia fulvescens var. elongata DSM 6958. Lineage: Eukaryota; Fungi; Ascomycota; Dipodascomycetes; Dipodascales. The record is from RNAcentral.